This 506-nucleotide ribosomal RNA is filed under the name uncultured Glomus. RNAcentral describes it as "SSU rRNA". It matches the Rfam family "Eukaryotic small subunit ribosomal RNA", at positions 569 to 1079 of the family's 1831-position model. The record is from RNAcentral. Lineage: Eukaryota; Fungi; Glomeromycota; Glomeromycetes; Glomerales; Glomeraceae.
AGCAGCCGCGGUAAUUCCAGCUCCAAUAGCGUAUAUUAAAGUUGUUGCAGUUAAAAAGCUCGUAGUUGAAUUUCGGGACUAAUAUGUCGGUCGUACUUUGUACGUACUAGCAUUAUUGGUUUCUCCCUUCUGACGAACCACGAUGUCAUUAAUUUGGUGUCUUGGGAAAUCAGGACUGUUACUUUGAAAAAAUUAGAGUGUUUAAAGCAAGCUCGCGCUUGAAUACAUUAGCAUGGAAUAAUGAAAUAGGACGUUUGAUUCUAUUUUGUUGGUUUCUAGGAUCGACGUAAUGAUUAAUAGGGAUAGUUGGGGGCAUUAGUAUUCAAUUGUCAGAGGUGAAAUUCUUGGAUUUAUUGAAGACUAACUACUGCGAAAGCAUUUGCCAAGGAUGUUUUCAUUAAUCAAGAACGAAAGUUAGGGGAUCGAAGACGAUCAGAUACCGUCGUAGUCUUAACCAUAGACUAUGCCGACUAGGGAUCGGAUGAUGUUAAUUUUUAAUGACUCAU